UGAUGUCCUAGGAAAAUAAGUCUGGGGACACAGAUUUUAAUAAAAUAUUAAUACAAAACUGUAUAACCGAAAAUUGAAACAUAAAAUUCAUAUUGAUCUUUUAAAAUAAAGGUCAUGGACGAUUUUACCUAGGAAAAUUAUUGACAUGGACACGAUUUUCCUAGGAAAAUUAGUCUGAGGACAUCAACUGUAUUAAAAUAUUAUAACACAACUUUAUCUUUCAAAAUAAAGGUCUGGCAUUUUACCUAGCAAUUUUAUUAACAUGGACAUGAUUUCCUAGGAAAAUUAGUCUAGGGACAUUCAUUUCGUUGGAUUUUUAAUGCCCGAGCUCUUGAACAGAACUAUAUUUUAAAACAUAAAAAUUGCAUUUCCAUGUGAAUAAUUUGUUUCAUUAAAACGUUCCUUUUAAAAUACAGGACAUGGAUAAAUUUACCUAGGAAUAUUAAUGACAUGGAC
Molecule: long non-coding RNA, 456 nt
Filed under: Mytilus galloprovincialis (Mediterranean mussel)
Lineage: Eukaryota; Metazoa; Mollusca; Bivalvia; Mytilida; Mytilidae
Source: RNAcentral